UUCCUACGGGGGCGCAGCAGUGGGGAAUAUUGCACAAUGGGGGAAACCCUGAUGCAGCGACGCCGCGUGAGUGAAGGAGUAUCUCGGUAUGUAAAGCUCUAUCAGCAGGAAAGAUAAUGACGGUACCUGACUAAGAAGCCCCGGCUAACUACGUGCCAGCAGCCGCGGUAAUACGUAGGGGGCAAGCGUUAUCCGGAUUUACUGGGUGUAAAGGGAGCGCAGACGGCAGCGCAAGUCUGGAGUGAAAGCCCGGGGCCCAACCCCGGAACUGCUCUGGAAACUGUGCGGCUAGAGUACUGGAGGGG
This 305-nucleotide ribosomal RNA is filed under the name uncultured bacterium. RNAcentral describes it as "bacterial SSU rRNA". It matches the Rfam family "Bacterial small subunit ribosomal RNA", at positions 335 to 657 of the family's 1533-position model. The record is from RNAcentral.